Molecule: ribosomal RNA, 457 nt
Filed under: fungal endophyte
Lineage: Eukaryota; Fungi
Description: eukaryotic LSU rRNA
Rfam family: 5.8S ribosomal RNA (bases 161-314)
Source: RNAcentral
GAGACGUUGCCCUUCGGGGUAUACCUCCCACCCAUUGUUUAUUAUACCUUUGUUGCUUUGGCAGACCCGGCUUCGGCCCACCGGCUCCGGCUGGUCAGUGUCUGCCAGAGGACCUAAAACUCUGUUUGUUAAUAUUGUCUGAGUACUAUAUAAUAGUUAAAACUUUCAACAACGGAUCUCUUGGUUCUGGCAUCGAUGAAGAACGCAGCGAAAUGCGAUAAGUAAUGUGAAUUGCAGAAUUCAGUGAAUCAUCGAAUCUUUGAACGCACAUUGCGCCCUCUGGUAUUCCGGGGGGCAUGCCUGUUCGAGCGUCAUUACAACCCUCAAGCUUUGCUUGGUAUUGGACAUUGCCAGUUUCUGGCAGGUCUUAAAAUCAGUGGCGGUGCCAUUUGGCUUCAAGCGUAGUAAUUCUUCUCGCUUUGGAGAUCCAGGUGGUUACUUGCCAAUAACCCCCAAU